Long non-coding RNA from Pangasianodon hypophthalmus (striped catfish), 21820 nucleotides. RefSeq lists it as uncharacterized. The transcript is spliced from 3 exons. The record is from RefSeq and is a predicted model, not a curated record. Lineage: Eukaryota; Metazoa; Chordata; Actinopteri; Siluriformes; Pangasiidae.
AUGUUAAAAAGAGGUUUCCAAAAAAGCAUUUUGAUUAAAUUAGCCUGCAACAGUAAUGCCAUUGCCUAAAUAUUUACAAAAAAAUUGCGAGACGAGACGACUCGCAACGUUCCCCUGAAAGAGCAGAGUUAAAGAGCCGACCCAUUUCCAAAUGAGUCCAAAGAGAAUGCUGAGGAGUGGAGCAUGUGACACAAACUAAAAAUGGUCAAAAAGGGUCAUGACCUUUUUAUUUAUGUCUGCCGUGUUGUAAUUUUAAUGGCACUGUUUUGGUUGUGUGAGAUUUUAGGUUUGGUAUGUGUAGUUUUCUAAUAUCAGUCACUUUUAAAGACAAAACUUGCUUUAUUAAUGCUUACGCUCUUUUCUUGUUCUUUAUUUCAAAAUGCCACAAAGUGAGAACAAAGUUCUCUAAACAGAAGCCUGAAAUUAAAGAUGUGAUGCAUAUAGAGGAGGUCUAAUAGAGAUAUGUCUCCUGAAUUCACCAAAGUACACCAUGAGGUGCUCCAAAGAUUUGAAAUAAUAAAUCGUGCCUUUCUUUUCAGACCAGAAGAUCUAUCAGGGUUAAGGCAGAUUUGCUUUAGUUCCAUAAAAGCUUGUCUCGUAUGUCUUUGAUAAUAAAAAGUACAUCUGACCCAGUCACACUCUGUAAAACAUCUGAGCAGAAACGCUAGAGAUAUCUAAUAAAGACAGACUUUUUCUGUGGUUUAGAGAAAAAGGUUUACUUUUUUCCUCCUAUAAUUUGGACAGAAACCGAGAGGAGGAGAUCAGAACUCUUUUGAGUCCCUUAAUGACCUCCCCAAAUAAAACAUGUCGCUCCAUGCUGCUGUUUUCCCAGAUGAGCAAAGCUAAAAAGCCAAAGUCAACUAAUGGCUUCUGGUAAAAUCCUGUUCUCUUCUAUUUUCUCAGACCUGGGAAUAGCUUGUCCUUUCAGCUCAAACUGUGUUGUGUGAAUGGAAAAAAUGUUUCAUUUUUCUCUGUCAACAAAAUGUCAUCCCAGACAUCUCAUUAUCUUCUAUCAAAUGUCUUGUAUGGAUUAGAUUUAUUAUGAAAAGUUAUUAUGGAAAAGAAGGUAAGACCACUAGAUUAUAAAGAUAAGAGAUAUGACAGCGUUCUUCUACAGCAAAUGAGCUCCUUACUGCAAAGCAACACAGCCACGUAAAUCUGCCUGAAUGGAAUUACAGAGGCACACACCGAUUAGUACAUUGUACCAUGCAAAAACGUAAAUUCAAUUCAGUUGAAUUCAGUUUUAUUUGUAUAGCACUUUUCACAAUGGAAGUUGUCACAAAACAGCUUUACAGAAACCCAGAUAUAAAAUUUAAAUUAAAAAUUCUAACGUAUCCCUAUUGAGCAAGCCAGAGGUGGCAAGGAAAAACUCCCCGAGACAACACGAGGAAGAAACCUUGAGAGGAACCAGACUCAAAAGGGAACUUCAUCUGGGUGACACCAGAUAGUGUGAUUAUAAAUAAUUUCUGUUCUAUAACUACAUACUAUAAAGUCAAGCAGUGCUAACUGUGUUAAAAGGAACUUGAGUAUGAGCAUCAUUAGAGUUUUAACUUUAAAUUUCUUGUAUUAAACUGAAGUUAUCUACUGUUCUGUGAUGGAGACUUGAGUGUAAACUGUUCUUACCAAUUGCUGUCUUUAGGCUAUCCAAGGAAGAACAUCCACAGCCAUCUUUAGGGUGUCUGUGUCAUACCAUCCACAGUAAACCCAAUGGUGAUCUGUAGGUUAUCCAUGAGGAGCCAUCUUCUGCAGCAGUGUGUGAUUUUCAGCGGAACGCAAGCUACAAAAUUAAACCCCCGACCCAAUUUUACACUCCCGGAGAAUAUGAUGGAAUACAGUUUCAGAUAAUGUAACAGCAGAGAAGCCGGGCCAUGAUCUCUACGGGUUGUGUGAAGAUUUCUGUGACUCACUUUCUGCUGCUGUGAUGGUCCCACAUAGAUACCCUAAAAAUCUGCACUUCCUAAAAACAGUUUACGCCCAAGACUUGCACUUUCCUCAGUAGAUAAUCUCACAUGAAUACUGCAGAUUUGUACCUAAGAACUGCUGCUGUAAUCAUAAAGACUGUCCCUUAUCCCAUGACUCUUAUUCACAAUACAAUCUUACUAAACAUCUUUUCAAAACAUGUGAUACUGUUUGACUUUAUAGUAUACAUUUGUAGAAGAGUAAUGAUUCACAAUCACAAUCUUUCGGUGUCACCUAUAAGAGGAUGUGUUGCCUUUUGAGUCCACUACCAUUCAUACUAGCGUUCUUUGACUCACACAUUCGAACUACACUGAGCGGAACUAGGUUAAUCUCUGUAGUCUACAUGAUGCAUCAUUGGUUCAAACCCCAAUGUCACUCACACACACACACACCACAGUUUGACAGCUCAGCUUGAGAGGUUCCUCUCAAGGUUUCUUCUUCGUAACAUCUCAGGGAGUUUUUUCUUGCCACUGUCACCUCUGGUUUGCUCACUAGGGAUAUAAAUCUACAUCCAAAUUUCUUUAAAGCUGCUUUCUGACAAUGUCUAUUGUUACGUGCACUAAAUAAAUAAAAUUCUGUUGAAUUGAAAAUGUGCCUGCUUUUAAUAGACUGUGAUUUUUUAAUUUUGUUCCUAUUCUCCCUCUGGCAGACCAAAUCGUCUCCAUGACCACUUCUACAGGUCGAUUCCCAGAGACAGAGAAAGACAGAGGUAUACAGUUGAUAAAGAGAUAAAAAGACAGGAUAAUAAAUGAGGUAUAUGUUUGAGGAGAAAACAGGAAGUGAGGUGAAACAAUGUGAACUCUACACUAUGAUGUGAGAGUAGGAAAGUAAAUUGGGCUCAUUUUAAAACUGCAUUUGGAUUUCAAUUAUUUUAAAGGUUCAGUAUUUUAAUACAUUCAGAAAUUCAGGAGCCUUUAAUUUAUACUGCUACAGACACAACGAACACUAGCGGUGGUGCUACACUUUGCACUUGUAUUGCAUAAAUCAGAAAUAAAUAAAUUAUCAUUUAAGAGUCCCUAGAUCCAAGAAAAAAAAUCCACCAUAUUCAGUUUUGCGCAGGAAUAUUUUUUAUAACUUAAGCCCCUUCAACACACAGGCUGAAGUUCAAAUCAUUUCCUAUUCACUAUAUAUGCUCACUACAUUGUGUAUGAUUAUAGUGGCCUUGUAGAACCUACACAGUGAACUACAUGUCCAAUAAAAUGCCAAAAUAUGUGAAAGUAUGCCAACUGACAGUCAUGACAACUCUCGGAAUGAAAUUAGCAAGCGUUUCUUGAUAAGAAUGAAGCGUAAGUAGGUUUGAUCUUGGCAGACUAGACCUGCUAUGCUACUGCUGCUGCUGAGCAAGUACAAGACUUGCUUAGUUAAGCAUACUCGGACACAGAGAUAUUAAGAACCAUGCUUCUGCUGCGAAAAAUUUGCCCGUACAGAUCUAGAUGGAUGGCGCUGGGGAGGAGGAGGGUAAAUGGGAAUUCUCAUGGCACGUGUGGAAACCGUGCCCGGCUAGUUUAUUCAGGAUAAUGGAGAGUUACGUAAAUGGAGAGGCGGACCGAUUGGCUGUAUCACUGGUGUCGAGAGAACCAAUCAGCGCGCAGACAAAGUUUCAUGACUGAACUAGACAUUUAGUAAAAUAUGUCAUGUAUUGAUUUAGACCAUAAAACAUUCUGCUAUGUCAAGUGACACACAGGUUUUAUUUAAUCAAAACGUUUAAGAAAUGAGUUUCAAUUGACUCGACCUUUGAUGCAAAGUAGGCUAUGGGGUCUUAAACAUUUGCAUGUUGCUUAUAUAUUUUUGAAUGUGUAAAUAUUAUUAAAAUUUUUUGUAAAAUUUAAACUGUAAAAUUCAUUCUCAUAGCCCUUCUGCAAUUGUGGCUCAUGUUCAAUGAGACUGCACCACUGACUGCAGUAUUUUUUAUAUUCAUAAACAGACAAGAAUAUCACAUUACAUUUACUAGUAUGUCUGAUCUGAAUGAAGCUCUCCAGUGCUACGGAAAAUAAUAAAUCGAAUUUGCCCUGAGUGUGCUGGGAGUGUGCCGCUCCAGCUCAGAUGAGUAUGCCGGUCCUGUGAGUCUAAUGUGUCAGAGGCAUUCACACACUUUAGGAAAAGGCGUUUUUACCUUAGGAAAGACAAAGCACAAGGAAACAGCAGCAGGAACAAGGACAAGGUCUUUAUUAUUCAUGGAAACAAGAUCUGGUAAUGUGGAUACUAAAAUGCAAAUCUGCCAGAAAAAAAAUGAAAGAUGAUACAGAUACAGAAAGAGAGAGUGAGAGAGAGAGAGAGAGAGAGAGCAAGCUCAUUAUUAUGCUAACCGUCUCUGGGGACCAAACCGGCACUAAUGGGCAAAAAAUACACAGGCACACACCCCAUACACACUCUCACACAGCGGUAGCAUGCUUGUAUGCAUGUGUGUGUAGAGGAUGCCAUGUUUUUAGCACAAGGACAGGGAUGUCUGACAAAAAAGUUCCCUUACAAAGUCAAAACUGUCACAUAUUCCUGUCCUUAUGGGGACAUUUGGUCCCCAUCAAGAUAAAAAAAACAAAACAUGCACCACACUAUGCCACACACCCAUCAGUUUCUCAAAAUCUGUGAGUAGCUCCCCAACCCCCUUCCUUUUUUUUUUAAUCCACUACCAUUCAUACUAGCUUUCUUUGAUUCACACAAUCACACAACACUAAGCUGGUCUUGGUUAAUCUCUGUAGUCUACAUGCGUCUUUGGUUCAAACCCCAAUGUCUCUCACUCAUACACACACACACUCACACACACACCACAGUCUGACAGCUCAGCAGUGCUGAAAGCCUUCCACUGAACCUCCAGACAGAGGCUGAUGACCUGGAAACCUCUCAGGAGCUCAGCCUAUCAGAUAUGAGCCACUGACUGACAGGCAUCCACAGCACACAGCAGAAAGGUCUACAUCUGAUCAAACUACCAAGGGAUCUGUCAGCUGGCAGAUAUACGAUAUAAAAAUGAUGUUCAUAAUAUAUCAGAUUAAUUUAUUGUUAUCGCAAAAUAAUAUCAGUGUCAUUUUUAUAAUAGUAGUGGGAAUGGCAUUUUGGAGGAUUCAAAAAGGUUUCUCAAUAAAAUCCCACGACUUUCAAUGCGUUGUUUACAGGAGACCAUUAUUUAUUUUAGCAUUUUUAAUUCAGAUAUGACAAAUGUUCCUCCUGUCUUCAAUAAGCCAGAUGUUAGAUUGCUUGUUUUUCGUCGAGGCUGGACUAAAAUCAUCCUUCAUUCAAGUACACUUAAACUAAUGUAUUGAAUGUCAGAUGUGAGUGUUUAGAUUUACUUUUACAAUUACAAUUACAUUUACAUUUACAGAAUUUAGAUGAUGCACUUAUCCAGAUCAGCUUACAGAAUUGCUUUAUAGUCUCCGUCAAAAACAUAUCCUGAUGCUAGUUCAUUAGAUCAAGGUCUAAAAAUACCAUCAAGCCCGUACAGCAGGAAAACAUACCGUUCAGGGGAUUUUUCAAAUAAAUGAAACUUAUUUAAAUGACAGAUCUGUGUGGAAAUGAAAGUUGUCUUUGCACCGAAUUAUUGUGUUUUUUGAUAACAUCAUCUAUUUAAUAUUACUAGAUUUAAUAUUAAUAUUAAUAUUUAAUAUUAAAUGGUAUUAUUAAAAAUACCAUCAAGGUCGUACAGCAAGAGAACAUACCAUUCAGUGGAUUUUCCUAAAAUUAGUGCUUAUUUAAAUGUCAGAUCUGUGCAGAAAUUAAAGUUGUCUAUGCACCAUAUUAUUGUUUUUUUUUUUUUUUUUUUUUACCAAUUCAUCUAUUUAAUAUUACUCGAUUUAAUAUUUCUGUAUUUAAUGAUACAUUUUCUGUAUUUAAUGUUACAUUUUAUUUGGCAUUCUUUAAUUUAAAAAUGGCCAUUUUCAUUGUUUUCCAGUAAAAUACUUUCCAAAAAGCUAAAUUUAAGUACUACAGAAGAUGCAAAUUGUGAUCUCAUCUAUCAUAUCAUGUAUGGGUUGUGAAUUAAAUGGAACACUGGCCUGUGGGAUUUACAGCCUGGUUGCUGAAUGAGGUUUCAAAUCACUAUUUGGCCUGAAUCAACCCGAGGUCUAAGGGCACGCCUGCAGAUAAGCAGGAGCACGACUGUCUCUCAAUGGGUCAGAGACCUCGCAGAGACUCUGUCCUCAACCCUAAUGGAGUGGAAAAUGUCUCUGGGAAUGAGUCCUCAGUCCUCCUCAUCAAUUAUAGAAACUCUGCCUUCAAACACUCCAGCAGCGUGCGCACAAGCCUCUCACAGCUCUCUUAGGAAAUCCACUGCCAUUUUAAAAGGCCAAUCUGUGUGUGACAGAGUGACAGGGAUUCUCAACCUGCGCUAAUCUUGAUUCUUUUCUAUAUAUUAGACAUAAAAAUAUCCAGCCUUGAUUAACUAUUAUGACCUAUAUGUCUCUAUUCUCAAACUGUUUCAUUAUCACGAUCAUCCUCUAUUACAUCUGAGGUCAAAAUGUGCUAACAUCACCCAUGUGGCUGUCUUAGCAAACUGUCUCUUAGAUGUUCUUGCAAUCUUUUUUCACAUGAGCAUGCAGAAGCCUUAAUACAGAGAACAACUAUAUCUUCCUCAUAUGCAUCACCUCGACAACAGACAACUUGAUACAACAAAUCGCAUAAUAACAUCCAGUUAAUAGUAGGUGCAGCUACACAGCACUGGCUAGCUAUGUUUAAACUACCAUAGAUAAUAAAGAGAAGUGAGUCAUGAAGCAUGAAGCUUACACUUCAUGUAAGGUUAAUGUAAGCGAAGGGGAAUUCUCACAGUGAUGCAGUGGUUAACCUGGGGUCAUGUGCUGCUCUCAAAUCCCUACUGCUCCCUCCAGGCAUAAAUCAGCCAGCAGAGAUCACAGCUGGGUAGCUUGAAUAUAUAACAGUAAAUCUCAAAUUAAACACACAACCCAGACACCAGGAUGCCUCGCUUUAACCAGGCCACAGUAGAGGUGUGCACACGACUGUUUUUCUAUCCUACUUCAUCAUACUAAGCUCAUGAGGGAUUUCUGACCAAUCACGUCCACUCCUGCAGUUACUUUUGUUAUGAAUUAACUUAAUCGCUUCUGUUUUCCAAAAUAUAAAGACUCUAGCUAGGAUAAAGCUGUUACUAAAGAUGAAUAAAUGAAUGAAUAAAGCCCAAUUUACACAAAAGAUGAUGUAAAUGCAUCAUGCAGCUCCGUGUGAGCAUGCUCAUGUCCAAUACAUGGGCAAUCAAGGUGGCCUUUUGUACGUCCGUUCCUGUCAGCAUGGUGACACGCUGUUGUGACAUUUUUUUGUUGAGUCCUGAAGUCCUGAUGCACACCUCCAGGCCAGAGCCGCAAACUUCUACAGCCAGAUGAAGUAAUGUUGAGAAAAACCUUUUGUGUGCAUCAUGGCUUAUUCAUGAUGAUGUUGUAAUUUCCUGUGUAAAAUCUUCACGAGCAACCAAACAUAGCUGUAUCUAAUGCAAUGUGUUACCAGUAACACAAAUAUCACAUUUAUAACAAUCUCUGUAACAAUCAAAUCCACUGAUUUGAUCCAGGAGUCAUCACAACUCCACACCCAAAUCUGAUAUAGAUAUUAUAUCAUUCCCACUCGACUACACAUACCAGCUCUCUCGCCUAAAACCUUUAGAGGUUUUCCUGUUUCCUGUGUGCAUUUCUGACUGUUCUUUUCUGAUUUUUCUGAUUUUGACCCCUGCCUGAUUUCUGACUAUAAAUGUGUCUUCUUGUUUGAAUUCCCCACAAAAGGCUGAUUCUGACAUCUAUCUGCCUCCGCUUCAUUAUCAAUUAUUCAUCACAACAUUAUUAAAAGAGUAUGAUAUCCUUUUUAAAACUGCAUCACAUUCACUACAGACAAAAUUUUCAUGUAUACUUUUUCCCGUACUGCGAGAAGAAUGAAAAAACCCUUAACUAGAAACUCAGUUACAUUAGUGGUCUAAGGGCAGUUGAUAAAUUUUGUCAACGAAAUUAUAUCGUCAAAACAUGAAGAUAUAGGCUAAAUUUAAAACUAUGAUGAUACGAGGAAACUUUCCAACACUGGCACAAUACACAAACACAAGUAUUUCUAGUUAAUUACACUUUUCCUGAGGUUUCAUGGGUGAUUAUGCAGAAACCUGGGGACAUUCAUGUUUAUUUUGAGCUACGUCAACUACAAGGGUAACACAUGACCACAAAUGUUUCCCUCUGAAAAAAGCUGGAAAGAUGAUUUACACAGAUUUAAUUUCAGUGUAAUUCACAAAUAUCCUUUAUGAAAGCAUUCACUGUGCGUUUUCUCAUUUCGUAAACAUUUAUUGACCAUCCCGGCAACAUUACAGUUCUUUUAUUACUACGGCGAAACGUGUUGAAAUGAUCGUCCGUGAUAAUUACACACACAGUACAGAUGAGGUUGACAAACACUACAGCAUUCCUAUAAGAGUUCAGUAAUUAUUUGUACACUGAACAGUUAACCACCCUGAAAUUAUACCUGAGUCAAAGAUAACAGAGGCAUAAUCUCCUCUCCUUAUCUGACCAUUUUGGAAAGGAAUCCAUUAUGAAAGGUAAUUCCGGUUAAGAGAUGAGCUUUGCGAGUCAGCCUGGUAAUUGCUCUGCUGAGAGCGGGGAAAAGCAUGUGCUCCAUGCAGCUUGCCGGGGUGGAGGAUAAUUGAGCGAGCUUCUAGAGGGAAAGGACGCAAAGGGGGUAAUUACACAUUCAUCCUGCCUAACAACAACUCAGAGAGAGCCAGAGAAAGACACACACAGAUAGCUAGUAGAGGUGAGAUCAGGCCGUGCUAUAUGUAGAAAGAAGACAUUACACAGAGGAUGAAAUGAGAUGAAAAGUGAAAGAGGAAGGAAGAGGUAAAAAUACAGUGUGGGUCAAAAGGCAUUUUCUCAGUAGGCCUACAUAGUGCUUUGGAGCUUUACUCCAUCAUACUUUAUCAGCUAGUUUACUUAGCUGUUACUACAAGGCUGUAGUUGUUAAUUACUUCAUUGUUUUACUCUAUAAGCUGUGUUUCUUCUUGUAUAUGCCCUUUUGCACUUAAAAUACUAGGUAGAUUAAGUACAGACUGACAGCACUAGGGUUGUUCCGGUGUCAGGGUUUCAUGAUUAGUCAUGGUGCAUGAUCAGGCGUUUACCUCAUCGUUGACUUCUUCAAAAAAUGUACUCCUGUCUAGAAACAUCUAAUGGUUCUUCUUCUUUUUUUUUUACCCAAUCAAGUUCCUUACUUCAGUGAUUCUCAUCACCAGUGUGUCACCCUGUGAGUCCAUACCUCUGGACUCACCCUAAAACAUCCCACUAAAACCGUAGAUUCUCUGCAGGGAGGAUGGAACUUUUGCGACUUUAUCAUACACACAGAAGAACAUGACAUUGCUGAUCAAAACUGAAUGAAACACCGGCUAUGUUUACAUGCACAUCAAAUUCCGUUGAAGGUCUAGAUUCGGGUUGCAGCCGUGUUCCUAAUACAAUACAGGCUUCGGAAUAUUCCUGUAUUCAUGGUUGCUGUAAGGAUGCCUGAGUUGCCAGUCCUAAAUACCUAGGAUACAGCUAAGCAUCUGUUAGGACCCACAAUUCCUUGCGGACUGAGCAUGCACAUAUAUCUCCUUUUCUGAAUAAGGUGUUUACAUGCUACAAAUUUCCGAUUAAAACAGGUAUAUUCCACUAGUGGGAAUCGGAAUUUGUGGAAAUUGUCUUUAAUUAUUGUCUUAAUCUGAAUCAGGCAGUCGGAUUGCAGCAUUUACGUGACUCAAUACUAAUUCGAAUAUUGCCAGAUUAUGAUUAUAUCAGAAUAUUGAUGCGCAUGUACACGCAGCCAAUGAUUUAGUUUGUCUAAGCAGCAUUGAACUUUUUUUUUUUGGCUCUACAUUUCCUCACAGCCACUCUGUCUUUCAGCUUAUAACGUUAACGUGAUAAAUACUGACAGUGUGAGAGUUUUUAUGGAAAAGUCAUUCACAAAAAUAAGAAAAGAAGAAUAAUUAGAGGAUUUGAUCUUUUUUGUUGUGCAAAAAGAUUUUGUAAUCGUUAAACAUCUUUAAUACCUUGAUACAGUGAAACUAUGAAAGACUAUUUUAGUCUAGGCUAUUAUAUCAUGAAAAUAUCAAACCAUCACACCCCCAUACAUCACCACAUACCACAAAAAACACCCAGACAGUUAAAAACCUGGGAGUUUGUGGUUUUGUGCAUUACAGCUGUUUAGCUAAUAUCACAGGUGAUGAUAUGAAUUAACCCCCUUAAACUCAGCAGUUUCUCAGUCUUGUUACUACAUACCUUUUGCUAUUAGUUUCAUCAUAUGUAUUAAAUAAUUCAUAGGAAAUACUGGUUAACAGCUUUUAAGAUAAACAGCUGAAUAAUAACCUGAGGUAUUAAGCAGUUAAUUAAAAAAAGCCAAAAAAUAUGUGUGAUCACAAUUAAAGCAAAUAUUUUAGGCACAUAUUUAAAAUAAAAAAAAGCAGUAUGGCAUUAACACUCAGUUAAUUUGUUAGAAUGACUAUAAAGCCUUCAAUAUACUCUGCACGUUAUUGACUUCAAGAGCCUCGGAAUCACAGAGGAAAUGUGUUACCCAGGAAACAAUGACACAGAUGCACAGACGAACAGACACACACACACACACACACACACACACGAGAAUGGACCAAUGAGAGGAGAUGCACAUGCGUGUCUGCCUGUGGACACGUUACUAGUUCCACCCCUUUACAAUCACACACAUACAUACGCACGUAUACACACACCUUAUCUUAUUACCUCAAGCUGCAUUCAAGCAGGAGCAAGUAAAACAGGUCCUGCUAACACUUUACACACAAUGGGGCGCGUGCUCAUAAAAUAUUCCUCUAGCCUCUACCACGCCCCUGCUCUGUGUGGCAAGGAAGUGAGUGUAUGAAGGUCAUUAUAGGAAAACAUAUGUGCGUAUGUGUGUGAGUGUGUGUGAGUGUGUGUGUGAGAGAGACAUAGGAUGCAGCUGUGACUCUAUGACAAAGAGCCAGGCACACUCCAGCUGAGCUCUGUUGAUGAGAGCUCUGCACUCUGCCACAUUAAUCACACACAAGGCUUAUUCUGCUGCAUGGCUUCCCAAUAUUCGAAUAAAGCUGUGUGUUCACACGAGCCAUUACACAUCAGGAGACAGCGGCCACAAUACACAAUACGCCGGGGCCAUUCUGUCCAUCAACACCUCUGUUAAACAAUCAACACAGAAAUAAACAUAGCGAUAUACAAAUGGAUAAACAAAAAACAAACAACUGAAAAAGGAGACAUUAAUCCUAGACAAUAUACUGUUUAUGUAAGGAAUAUAAUACGAAGGGAUGUGCUGUUGUAGGAAAAUAAUCAAUGACGGGAUGGUGGGAUGUGGCCUGACAUGAAGCGGAGUUUCCUUAAAGUUAAUUAUUUUCCUAUAAUAGGAUGAGAUUUAUUCCUCUUAUACCACAGCAAUUUGCCAACACUAAUUUUUUUUAUUAAAGAAUGACACCUCCUACUCUAUAUCCACUUAUAGUCAUGUUGUGAAACAUCGAUGAAACAAGUCACUUCCCAUUAUCGCUUAAGUUAUAAAAGCUAUAAACAGCUAUCCCCUCAUUUCCUCUCCUUUUUCUUUCUCUUUUAGUUAACGAAACAAAAACUGCAGCUUGGCAUGUUACUGGGCAACGAAAGUGUAAAGCCCUCUGUCCUGAAGACCUUCCUGUGGCGGAAAACUUUAAGCAACAGCUUUAGCUUGACUCGUACAAAGCACUGAUACUGGACAUGUUAUGUGGCUAUAGAAAUGAUAACAAUCAAAACUGACCAAUCAGAACUCAACAGCACUGUGGCGUAAUAAUCAUUAUCACGAAACAGCACCGUGUCCUCACUAACUCUAGCAUCCUCAUCAAUAUUAAAAAUCCACAUCAAUAUUAGUGUUUCUGUAAUCACUGCAUUCACAUGGUGGAAAACGGAAGCAGUCUGGUUUUAAAAAGAAAUACAGCCUUUAAUAGUAAUAAUAAUAUUAAUGUUUUAAAUUCUCUCUGAAUCAUAGACUUAUUCAUUAUGUUCUGAUCGUAAAAUGUAAACAGAAUCAAACAUUUCUGACGUAAAAUAAACACUGGAACACUAAGCUUAGGGAUGAGUGAAAAUAUAUAUAAUAAUAAAACAUGAAUAAUAAUAAUACACAAUAUGUAUGUUUUGUUGAGGUUUUGUAAAUGAACUGCCAACAAGAUAUUAGAGCAACAUUAUGAAAAACUAACAGCACAAAAUCUUCUUUCAAUAUUCAAAACAUUUAACAAGAACCUAGAGAACUGGGGACAGUAAAAUCUCAUGACUUAAUUUAUUGCAAUAUCAUUAUCACAUGGUCAUAUGGCUCAGCCUCUGGACUUCUUUCAGGAUGGGAAAUAUUAUGUUUUUAAAAGCAGCAAAUAGUCAUGCUGGGAAAAAAAAAAACAUUGUAGGUUAUAGAACUCAAAAUUAGAGAUCCAUUAAGAUGCAUUGAUUAAUAAUCAAUUUAUAAUUGCAUCAAGUCAGCCGGAAUCGAAACUGAAUCGAACCCUGAAGUCCCUAGAGAUUCCCACAUCUCUCCUAAAGGUUCUCAUUAUGAAGGUUACAUACAUGUGUGACAUAUAUGAAGAUUUAGAUGCACAGGCUGAGUAGAUAAGCACCCUAACACCAUUAUACACCUACACACUUGCACAUUAUUUGACAUCGGAGACAAUAAGGCCCACUUUGCACUAUUUUCUACACACUGUCACAUACACCAACACACACACACACAUAAACACAAUGAGCCAGAUGUUUGCUACAACCACAGAGCAAACAUAGCACAUAAACAUACAUUUCCCUUACUUAAGAAAACAUAAGCGCACCGAGUACAACCCAAAUCCUGGACAAACAUGAUGCAGACAUGGAAAUACAAGUCCACUAGCUGAAGAGCAAGAGAGAGAGAGAGAGAGCAAGAGAGAGCAAGAGAGAGAGAGAAAGAGAGAGCAUGCAGACUUUGAGCAGAAGGCCAUCUCUGAGAUUAAAUUACUCGUCCCCCAGGCGACAUGCCCAGUCCAUACUGUACUAUUGAUCUCUUUCUCUCUUCCUCAUGUGAUGGUCCAGUCACAGACACAGAAAUCAUAGAGACAUUUUACAGUCUGUAUUUUGUAGUACUGCUUCAGUACAAACUUGUUCACUACAAACUUCAUGGGAUGCAAUGUUUCAGUUAUCAAAUCUUUCUGACUUUGUAGCUGUUCUGAGUAUAUCAUAUUUGUUGACUGCGGGUUGCGUAAAGAGUGUGAAAGUUUAAAAAAAACAAAACAAAAAAAAAAAAAUAAUUACAGUCAUUCGGGAAGCCCUGCACAGUUCAAUCGGACAUAGGUGUAUUGGUUGAACAGGUAAGGGGCAGAAUGCUCGUAUUAUAUUUUAUAUUAUAUAUCGAGUUAUAUUGGUGUUUGGGCUUCCUUCAGCUACAGGUUCCUCCUCCUGCACUAUGCUUUCAAGUAACAAGUAAAAACACUGAUAAGAUGUACAGUGACCUGCAGAAUUAUUGGCACCCCUAUAGAAAAUGGGCAGAAUUGUUAUAUAAAAUUAAUAACAUGCAGUAGUGAUAAUUUAAGAUUAAAGACAUGGGAGCACUGUUAUCUUUUGUUUUAUUAAAAACACAAAUGAAAAAAAUGUGUGCAAUUCUUUGCUGUAAUACAAUGGUGAAAGAAAUAUCUCCACCCUUAAAAUUAAUAUUUGGUGAAGUCUCAUCUGGUUGGAAUAACAGCCUCACAUAUAAUUUCUAACAUGGAUCUAGACACUUGUAGAGAGAUCUUGACCUUUUCUAAGGACAGUAUCAUUUAAGAAGCUUUUGUUGAAGUAUAUACUUGUGCAUUGGUGUGAAAGAAAAUACAGUUCUCCUGUUUGAGAUUUCGCAACACAAACUUGAGUUUUUUCUGUUUCAUAUUACUUUUGUCAAAGUGCCAUGUUGUAGUGAUGCGAGUGAAAUCACAGACUCCACCUAGGACAACAGAAGUCUUUAUUAUGUAUAAGCACAAAAGUGGGAUUUGUCUUUCAGACACUGACAGGUAGCAGCAGUUUUAGAAAAAAAAAAUCUGCUUGGAGUGUCUGCUAAGUCUAAAAUGGUGAUGGAUGCUUUAUGUUUGUGUUCAGAAGUUGUAGGCCAAACUCUCGCCACUCAGAAUGUAUACAGUAUGUGUGUUGGAUGUGUACGUGUGUGUCACUCACCAAAAUGACCAACCCUAUGUAAACUCAGUUAUUAACUUAAGGGCUCUUUAGUACUGAUUCUACCAAGCAUUCAUCUCACACUUUUCACACAAGGCUUAGAGUAGCUUAUUGAAAAACACUUUUAAAAGGACUUUUAAAAACCAGAAUGUACAAUAGCGGUCCUCUUAUAGACUAAAUUGACAAAAAAAUUAAUUUUUCUUAAUUUAAAAACACUUAAACAGAUUAGUACAAGACAAUGUGAGGAAAGGAAACAUCGAGACAAAUAGUCAACAACCUGAAAUAAUCAUGUCAGCAUAUCAGCGCUCUCAGACUGCCUGUGAACACGUCCAAAUACCGGACACCUUUCUGCUGAAUAACACCCUUUACUGGUUGCUGACUCUAGCAGCCAAGAGCAAAAGCCAUUAGCCGUCCGCAUUAGCAUCUCAAUGCAGUCGCUAUCAAUCGUGAUGGAUGAGUGCAUCUCUAAGGCUCCAGCAAUGUUAGUUUUACUGAUCCAAAAGACUUCUGUCUGCACAGGCAAUGAUAGAUGUUUACGCCUUAGAAUUAGGUAAAUAGCAGGGAACAAUACCAUAUACUACAUUUGAUACGAGAAGUAGUUUCUCUUCAGCAAAUGUGAGAGAACACAAUAGUUGUUUGCUGCAGUAUAAGCAACCGUUUUAAACUUCAAGCAGGAAUCUCACUUAGUGUUGUAUGGGAAGCUUCAACAAGAGUGCUCUGGCAAAUCUGGGCCAAGGAGCUACACGAGAAAAAAAAAACAAUCAAGACUUGUUAAGCAGUUUACUUCUUUCCGACAAACAAAACAGUCACUGGACAAUCAGUGGAAGUAAGUGUGCCAUUUCCAAGCCAACAGCUUAAGGACUCGCAUAUCUAAUGUAGAGCUCCUCAUGAAGACAGGCCCUUCUGCUGUUCCACGACACAUCUGAAUGGCAGAGAAUUCAAAAAGGACCCAUUUGCAUUUGGCCUCCAUGAAAGGCCUGGACUCAUCAAACUCCAUUAGUUUUAUUAAGAAGCCCUCAGUCAGGGUGAUGGCCAUUAGCAUCACUUAGUGGGAUUUGCUAGCUCGCUAAUAUCCCCAAUAACGUGCAGUAAAGGGCUAUUACCAUGUCAGUGCCACUGCUGUGCUGGGAUUGGCCCACUACCUGGAAGAUAUCUGGUCACCAGUGGCACUGGGUGGUCCCUCUUCUCUCAUGGACGUAGAGGAUAGAGGAGGGCUGACACAUUGUGCAAAGUAACAGAUGGGCUACACUAUACCUACAAAGUGACCUACAUAGCAAGUGUACCUGAAAAAAAGUGCUAUGAAAAAAAGCAUUCAUAUCACCUUUCUAUUAUGUUGGGAAAACCCAACCAAAUGGAGCCAUUCAUAUUCAUAUACCUUAUAUAAGAAAGAUAACCUUCAGAAACAGUGAACCACACACCUGGAAUAAACUUCACAGGACCCUGAAACUGGAUACUCUUAUUACACUGUGGCAUUUUAAAUAUUUAAUGGAAGCUAAUGAAUAUAAAUGUUUCACUUAAUGUUUUAUUCUGUGAUAUUUAUUUUUGCCCUUUCUAUCUCUUGUAAUCUAUUUAUUAUAACUCUGCAUUGUAAAUCAAGGCUCGUCCUCCAUGUAAAUAACUGAAAUUAGAUUAUGAGUAAACUUUUCUGAUGCUCGCAUUUCCAGUGCAACACUGUCCUUCUUCAGUACAUGUAAAUAUACACACAGAUUUUAUUAAAACACAAGUCAGGUCAGUGAUAAAACCAAUUUUCAAUCACAGUAAAUUCUGUAAGUGCAUCUCUUUGCUGGUGCAUCAUGUAGUUGUUGUCCUUUCAGCUGAUCAUUGGUCCACAUGUUUGAUUUAGCACAGGUUUUAUACCAGAUGCAACCCUCCCAUUUUAUCCAGGCUUGCACCGGCACUGAGAGUACACUCCCACUGACUGGGAUGGUUCCCUGCCCAGGAAUCAAACCCAGGCCACAGCGGUGAUAGUACAGGAUCCUUAGGUACUAGACCACCAGGGAUGACAAAACACAUCUGGUAUAUCCAAAAUAGUGUACUAUUUUGGAAGUUUUGAUAUUCAUCUCCAAAAUCAUAGUAGAGAAUAUCCAGUGAACUCAAAAAAAAAAAAAAAAUCCCACAAAGCGUUACAAUAGGUUAGGGUCCAAACAAAGUGCCCUUGAGGGAACAGAACACCUAAAAUUCACUUUGCCAUCUGUAUGGAAUAGAAAGUAGGGCACCAUUUCAGUCAUAGGGACUGACUUCGUGUCAGGAUGCCAUGUGCACCACGCAGCCUCCCUGUGCCUUGGGACCAAUUAGUCACCCUUCUACAUUCGGCAUGGUAGAAUACUCCACCAAACACGUCAAGUUGUACACAUCAUUAUUCCAGCAGGAUUUUUAUGCAAAUGAAAGAAGGGCAGAGGGCAGGUGCUAUUUAAAUGAACAAUGAGUAAAGGCCACAAAUGGGUUGUCUUUAUUUAACCCUAUAUUUGAAGGUUAAUAAAAUUACAGCUUGCAAUUUGCAGCUAACAUAUUGUAUUUGUUAAGGGGUUGGGCGAUAUGGCAGAAAUCUUCCAUCAUGGUACACUAACACAUUUUCAUAAUACACAAAAUAUAUAUAUUACAUAUUUGGGCAAGCUAACAAAGUGUCAUCAAAGUAGUGGCAUCACAUAAAAAUAUAUUAAUGAAGAAAACCGGUACAAAAAUAGUAACUAAUAGCUAAACGGACAAUAAAAUCGGAGUAAUCUUUGCUAUAAAACCAUAAUGUUACAUUUUUUAUUGUGAUAUUAAUAUCUAAUCUCUGCUUCUGAUGCUGCAAUAACUUUUGUACACUUAGCUGACCAUAAGCUUCAGAAUCUCAAGGCUGCAAACUGAUUGGCUCUCUGCACUUCACUAUGCUGGCUCGAACUAGAAAAACAUAUAUUGAAAAAGCUAAGACUGAAAUAGCUAAUAAACCUGGAUCUUGUUUCAAUCUGAAUUUUUCAAUACAUAUUGACAAAGCUAACAUCAUCCCAUUCUUAGACCGAUUUAUUUGCAAUUUUUUUUGAAACAGUGAUGAGUAGACAAGUUGGCCAUUUACAAUACCAGUCAAAUGGCCUCUUCUUGUAAAAGUAGCCAAUUGUUGGCUCCUUUCAGUGAUAAAAAGUACCAGACUCUCUAGAGAAAGCUAGAAGUCUGGUUUGAAAGACUAUCAGUGCUGUACCAUCAUAUUGCCCUGACCCAGACUUACAUAACACCAAUGUGGUGUCCCUCUGGGCCCUUUAUUUGUCUCCACUCUGUGCUUUACAAAAGCUCAUUACGUAGAAGUGCAUGUCUUAUCUACGUCCAUCCUAGCCAUGUGCCUGAAAGCUAAUAACAAGAACAGGGUUAAUCUCUUAAUGCGACACAGAAAGCAGAAUUUACCGGUCUUCAGAAACAAGUGUGAUAUGUUAUUAUACAACAAUACUUAUAAAUUGCUAUGUCUGUCAAAUGAUAUAAUAUAUCCUCUACUUCAAAGCAUUCAAUAAAUCCUUGUAACAAAACCAACAAUGUAAUGAAAAUAGAAAACUCCUCUAAUGGAACAAGAUCCAAUGUCAGAAGGCUGAUCAUCCUUGCCAUAGUAAGACAACUUAAUAUGAUAUAGAUACCGUGUUCCUAAACAAAGCUGUCCUCCACUGCUAUUAAUGAGGAGAGAUUUAGUCCAACACGUGCCCCGAGCAUGUGAGACAUGUUCAUUCCAAACCUAAUCUCAUUUCAACUGUUAUGAUUAUGCAGCCGUUAGAAGGACAGUCACAGCAGACAGAAAACACCACUGAUCUUUUCAGUACAGUGAUUUACUGAACAAAUAUGACAAAUACUUAUGAACUUUCUCUCUUUUUUUGGCAUUCUGACAUAACCAUAAGCUUGUAAUCAUGUGAUAUACUCUUAUCUAACAAAGCACACCAAAAAGCAGCUGUUUACAUUUUACUGCACUGCAAUAAAGGAUGAAAUUAUAAUGCAAUUAUACAGUAGAUCUUUAGCAGUGAAAUAGAAAUAUACAGCUAACCUACAGCAGCCGAUCCACCCUAAUGUGAUAGCAUCCGCUUUAAAGGAUUUCACUAUUUGCUAAUUACCUUUUUCAUCUGACACUGUGCUCUCGUUAAUGGUAGGGAAGCUAGAGCCAAACCUAAUCAUCAGUAUUGUCAGUACAUUCACAAGCUGAAUGGGAAAAUGAUGCAAUGAAGAAAGACACCUUCACUCACAGCUUUUAUAUAUGCAAGGUCAUUACCAGCUGAAGACUAUUGCUCUGCUUGUCUGUCUACCUGUCAUCCAGUCAUCCUGUCUGCCUGUCAUCUGCUCCUGCUUACUCAUGGCAGCUACAAAUAAACUACCUCUUUCCAGAGCAUGCAGAAGAAGACAUGCCGAAGCUAAAACAUGCUCAGCCUCAGAGAACAGGGAGAGAAAAGCAGGGAGCGAGUGAGAGAAAGAAACGAGGAAUGAUAGGGGAUGAUAUCACGGCUCACUAAAGACGUGACAGAGAUUUCAGGGAGCUUCUGAGCAAGGAGCAUUAGCUGGGUUGAUGCCGUGACAGUGGUAGAGCUCUGAGGGGAUGAUUUAAAUGAAAAAUACUAUAGAGCUGACAUACUGCACUGUAGGUCCUAUCCUACAUUGGAUAAAGAAGAGUGUAAUUAUGGAGAUCUUUGUUUCUUUGCAUAAUCACAUACACAAACACCUAAUAAUCUAUUUAUCAUGCAAGGCGGAGCAAUAUCAAAAUGUUGAAGAAGCAAUAUUUACUUGUUUGUUUGCAAUAUUUACAGCCCUCUGCUGCCUACAAGGUGAAUUCCAGUUAAAAUGUAUACACUGGCAAGUCUUCUCUUUCCCUCCAAAUGAAUUGUAGCCCCUCCGGUAAUACUAUGUAUGCUGACACAGAUUGAUGACACAGAUUCCCCCUUCACAUCGCAGUUUUAAGGGCGAAACGGGCACGAACUGGUGUUUAUUCUGGUCUUGUUAUCUGAUUGUGUCCACCUGUUUUGUGCUAGUUCUAGAUUAGUUUGUCUAUCUAUACCUUGUUGUGUCUGAGUACCUUUGCAAAGUCUUCUUGUGCUUUACUUCACUAAAUCAUGUUCUCCUGAGUGCCUUGUUUCUACUUAUUAUGCAUUAUCCAUGGUUGAUGUUGCCUGCUAAUGCUUUGAUGCAUGCUAUGGACAACGAUUAUGAUUAUUGUAUUAACCCAAAUAAAUAUCAUGCCGACCACCCACAUUUGCAUCUGCACGUUACACACAAGUUGCCUUUUAGAGAAAAAGAGCAGAGCUGAGCUCUUGAGCUCGGUGUCAACUGGAGUUGGAACUAAUUUCUCGACCUUAAAAUUUCUUUGACUACCUUUAACACCUUCAACUACCCAACUCAGGUAGUCUCUGCUGGAAGUCUUUAGUCUACAGCAAAAUUAGCAUUUUGAAAAGUAAUAAUUUUUUUUACCACAGGGAUGUUGAAUGUUUGAUUCUGAUUGGUCAAAAGCUAUGGAUUAAUCUUCAGCUGCAAGGUUUUUGUUAAUGCGCUCAUUUUAAUAUGUUUCUAUAGCAACAACAUACACAGGGACUUGUAUGGAGGACGCGCCACAUAAACGAUUUAAAAACAUCUGUAACUGUUCAUAUGGUGACGUUUUUUGUAACAUCUAUUAAAGUUUUUAGAAGGAGUCUCCAGUGUCAAUGCUUUAAAACAGUCAAAGGUAAAGCUGUAAUUUUAGGUUUUCUGCUAUGGGAAAGUCUUCAAGAUGGAGGCCAAGAUGACAAGCUACAUUUUCUGUCUUAUUAAUUUUGAGAGAAAGAAAAUGAGAGAGCCAAUUGAGUGUAACUGUUUAUAGCUGAUAUAACAUUACUGACAACAGGAACUAACCUGUUUUGCAGAUAUUCCAUAGUUACAUUAUAUGUAACUAUAGGGCGAUAAAAUAUAUGACGUCAUGUAUGUGUCAAAUAUAUGACUUUAAUACCUAAAAAUUGUUACACUUGGAAAAUUGCUGUGGUAUAAAAGGAAUUAAACACUUCAGGUUUUAGCUGUGUAUUGGGCUGCAUCGAACCAUCCCAUCAUUUAUUAUUUUUUUAUUCAUUUAUUGGUUUACUCCUUAGAUAAUAGAAGGAGGUACUUUUAGGUCCAACCUACUGUAGAACUUUAUGAAAAUAUAUUAAUUUCAUUAUAAUGCUCACUAUUUGGAGAGUAUCAUAUGUAAUCUUUUUACAAGCUACACAAUACAAUCAGGAUGAUGUUAUUUCUAAUAAUGCUUGUAACUCAAUAAAAAAGUCACAUAAAAUAACUCAUUUUAAAAACAGUGUUUUGGUGAAAGACACAACAGGUUUUGUGUUUUGACUAAAUUUCAUUUAGCCACAACAUAGUCUAUAACAGUGUUAUCAGGCACUGCUCUCGUCACUGCCAAUUAGUGAUAGUAGUGCUGCAAAGGCCAUCAAAUGCGACGUCAUUAUCCCAGCCACUCAUUAGUGGUCCAGAGCUCUGAUAGUUUGAUUUUCUUAUGUGUUGUCAGUAUAUGCAGGCCAUUGUUUGCCUUGGUCAGCCUACAGUCUCUUUUAUCUUCCUCCCACCAGCUGUGUGAGUGUUAGUCAGAGAGCAUUGUGGGAGGUCACACCACAGCCUCAUUUGAAUGACUGCUUGCUUCUCUUCUUUAGUUUCUGUCCUUGGCUGCAUUGUAACACUCAUUAUAGCUGGAAUUGUGACUAGUGCUGGUUUGGUAUGCUUACUUACAAAAAUGCUGAUCUUUUGGAAUUCGUAUAAAUAGCCAAUUUUAAGAAAUCAGCGAAAAAGAACGUAGCAUGUUGUAAUAACAUAAAACUGCAACUCCAUCAUUCAGCAAAUUAAUGGUAUGACAACCAAAUCAUACUAAAAUCGGGGUAAUUGUGAAACAAACAAUCGAUUGUGGCCAAUCGAAAAGCACACGUAGAUAAAUGUUAUUAUAAAAAUCAACAUUAUUAUAAUUCUAUAAUAAAUAACAACUGUCUUGUGCUCAUCCCAGGAUUCUUAUUCACAAUCACCAUUUGAGUCUGGUUCCUUUCAUGGUUUCUUCCUCUUGUCAUCUGAGGGAGUUUUUCUUGCCUCUGUUCCCUCUGGUUUGCUCAUUAGGGGCCUAAAUCCACACCUGGAUUUCUAUAAAUUUAAACUUUGUGACCAUAUCCAUUGUUAAAAUACAUAUAGUGAUUACAAUAAAACUGAACUGAAUUCGGAUUGAAGUAUAAUUACAUAAUAGCUAACUUCAAUGGUAUUUUACCUGAUAUGAUCAAUCUUUAGCUAGAAAACUGUGUUUGUUUCAAUUAAGUAACAUAAUUACAGCAAUUAAUGCAGUGAGUUUUUGUUCUAAUAAAGAUUCACUAUUCAUAGUGUAGUUUGAUCAGCUUCAUUCUUACUUCCUCUAGAUUUACCUUAAUUUCUUAUGAACCAAUACUAUGAAAUGAAACAGCCUCUAAGCUCCAACCUCUAACUUCUAUGAACAGGAUGAGUCAGAAAUUGAGAAAUGUACACUGCAAAAAUGCUGACUCUCUCAGCAAGAGACUUCUACUUCAGCAACUAGACUUCUAUAUAUGGGAACCAAAAAUGGGAGGAGGUAUGUAUAUUAUUCACAAUGUGGGGUGAGAAAGAUUAGUCUAACUUGCCCUAAAAAAAAAAAAGAGCACACUGUGCAUAAUGCUUGUGCUCACCACAGUGAACUUCCUGUACCAUGACACCAAGGCAGUGAUGCAAGAAUGAAAAAAAAAAAAACAGGUUUGUGAGGAGACAACUGUUUAUAGCUGUAAUAACAUAAGUGAUAACAGGAACUAACAGAUGUUCCACAA